Molecule: long non-coding RNA, 410 nt
Organism: Oxyura jamaicensis (ruddy duck)
Lineage: Eukaryota; Metazoa; Chordata; Aves; Anseriformes; Anatidae
Exons: 2
Source: RefSeq, a predicted model, not a curated record
ACACUUAAACAGCAGUGGCUGGUUUCUUAUUGAUUCAGUCAUUUGCGCUGGGAUUCGUUAGCGUCAUCAGGCUUUAACUCUCUUACUAGGUCUUCACAGUGUGUAAUACUGCAAGAUGCAGGAAUGUACAAAAUGAUACAGGGGAAGUGAACAGAAUUAGAAGACGUAUGCAGAGCCUCAUAACCCAGACCUGUCCAGUGAAAAGAAGCUGCCCCAAAUCGACCCAUUUAUUACCUAUUCAUUUGUUGUGAUGUAAUCUCUGGGAGGAAAAAAAUAAAAAGAUGCAAUAUGUUAAUGUUUAAACAGUAGAACAUUUUCUGAUCAACUUAGGUUAUUCCUCAAACUGAGAAUCCCAGACAGAAUCUAUAUAAAAUUUAACUCACAUAUGUGAUCACCAACAUUUUUUAUUA